AAGUUGGUUCUGUGCUCACCUUGGCUUCACUUUCUUUUUACCUUCCUUCCUGCAGUUUGCUAUUGGCUCCCUGAUGGAUGAUUACUUAGGGCUUGUAAGCUGAGCCUGGUGGCCUCCUACCCUUGGUCCUGAUCUAGGAAGUGUGAUUGUCACACUUACUGUGUUGUCCAGAGGUCCAGUCUGGCCGCUGUUGUGAAGGCAAGGAAGGCAGCUCAUCCCCGGAAGGUUCUUCUUUUGGCUUAGCUACUGCUUUCUGAUUUUUCAGUAUGUGUUCUAUGUAAAAAAGCCCUUGGUUCUCAUGGAA
Long non-coding RNA from Cebus imitator (Panamanian white-faced capuchin), 304 nucleotides. RefSeq lists it as uncharacterized. Lineage: Eukaryota; Metazoa; Chordata; Mammalia; Primates; Cebidae. The transcript is spliced from 2 exons. The record is from RefSeq and is a predicted model, not a curated record.